GUUAUGAAACGGCUGAAAUUGCAGCUUUUUGGUCUAAACGGCAUACCAAAAUUAUAAGUGGUACAGCUCCCAUAUACUUUGACACUCUAGGGUGGAGGAAAUUUGCAAGUGA
This is a long non-coding RNA of Etheostoma cragini (Arkansas darter), 112 nucleotides long. RefSeq lists it as uncharacterized. The transcript has 3 exons. NCBI's taxonomy places the organism in Eukaryota, Metazoa, Chordata, Actinopteri, Perciformes, Percidae. The record is from RefSeq and is a predicted model, not a curated record.